UACGUAGGGUGCAAGCGUUGUCCGGAAUUAUUGGGCGUAAAGAGCUCGUAGGCGGUUUGUCGCGUCGAAUGUGAAAACCCGGGGCUCAACCCCCGGGCCUGCAUUCGAUACGGGCAGACUAGAGUUCGGUAGGGGAGUCUGGAAUUCCUGGGUGUAGCGGUGAAAUGCGCAGAUAAUCAGGAGGAACACCGGUGGCGAAGGCGG
Molecule: ribosomal RNA, 204 nt
Filed under: uncultured bacterium
Lineage: Bacteria
Description: partial 16S ribosomal RNA
Rfam family: Bacterial small subunit ribosomal RNA
Source: RNAcentral